Molecule: long non-coding RNA, 275 nt
Organism: Microtus oregoni (creeping vole)
Lineage: Eukaryota; Metazoa; Chordata; Mammalia; Rodentia; Cricetidae
Exons: 3
Source: RefSeq, a predicted model, not a curated record
GGAAACACACCUCCAGGCAGGCAGAGAACCCUAAUCAACUGCAGCUUGCACUUCUGACCCUGCCGACGCCAGCCCUGCCGUAUCUCGCCGACUCACCCUCCAGAACCCGAGCAGGAUAUGCCAAGCCGGAACUGCUGACCAGCAAUGGUAGCAGGAAGCUCUCACCAAGUCCAUCUCCCUUUCUGGACAAUGCCGGGAAGACCACACCUCCCGCCCUCAAAGGCAUUCGCAUUCUAGGGGUGCCACAUACCAGUGGCAUAUAAGGAGACCCCGAG